Molecule: ribosomal RNA, 590 nt
Filed under: uncultured bacterium
Lineage: Bacteria
Description: bacterial SSU rRNA
Rfam family: Bacterial small subunit ribosomal RNA
Source: RNAcentral
CCUACGGGAGGCAGCAGUGGGGAAUAUUGGACAAUGGGCGAAAGCCUGAUCCAGCAAUGCCGCGUGAGUGAUGAAGGCCUUCGGGUCGUAAAGCUCUUUUACCAGGGAUGAUAAUGACAGUACCUGGAGAAUAAGCUCCGGCUAACUCCGUGCCAGCAGCCGCGGUAAUACGGAGGGAGCUAGCGUUGUUCGGAAUUACUGGGCGUAAAGAGUACGUAGGCGGUUAUUCAAGUCAGAGGUGAAAGCCCGGGGCUCAACCCCGGAACUGCCUUUGAAACUAGAUAACUAGAGUCUUGGAGAGGUUAGUGGAAUUCCGAGUGUAGAGGUGAAAUUCGUAGAUAUUCGGAAGAACACCAGUGGCGAAGGCGACUAACUGGACAAGUACUGACGCUGAGGUACGAAAGCGUGGGGAGCAAACAGGAUUAGAUACCCUGGUAGUCCACGCCGUAAACGAUGAUAACUAGUUGUUCGGUCACUUGGUGACUGAGUGACGCAGCUAACGCAUUAAGUUAUCCGCCUGGGGAGUACGGUCGCAGAUUAAAACUCAAAGGAAUUGACGGCUGNGAGUGCGAGACGACGACGAGGAGAGG